ACUACAUUCAGCCAAUCUGCUUAGCCUCAGAGAGCAGCACUUUCUACAAUGGGACCAGCAGCUGGGUCACUGGUUUUGGUUAUGAUGAUAGCUACCAAUUUCCCAACAUCCUGCAGGAAGUUAAAGUACCAAUGGGAAACAAUGAGUGCAGAUGUUACUUUGGAGACUACUACCACCGUUUCCCACAGAUUACAGAGAACGUUACCUGCACAGGGCCCAAAUUUGAUUGGACGGGUCCAUGUAAUGUAGAUCAAGGAGAACCACUCAUGAUGAAGUCAGGAGAAGUCUGGGUCCAGAUUGGAAUUACGAGUUAUAGUACUUGUUGGGGACCUUCAAUCUACACUCGUUUGUCCCAAUACCAGAAAUGGAUCAGUGACACCAUCACAGAGACACCACUAGGCUUUGUUACAAUCUCCUCCUCAGGGACUGACAGCGAUGUAAACUUUAUCUGCCCAACAUCACCACCUACAACCAUCCCUCCCCUUUUGAUUACCACUGUCCCUCCCCUCAUUACUACCACUGUCCCUACUCUUUUAAAUACCACUGUUCCUACCCUUUUUAACACUACUGUCCCUACUAGUUUCCCUGUUAUUCCAACCAUGCAUAGCAAUGGUGAAAAUCUGAUCUACUUCACCUCUCUCUCUGUUCUUGUUGUGUUGCUCCAUGUGUUUAUGGGAAGUGGAAUGUAACUCAUUUAUACAUUUACUCAAGUCUUAUACUUAAUGACAUCCUUGAAAUACUUGUACUUUACAUUUGUGAUCUUUAUUAACAAAUCAAACCCUUUUUAUUGCAUGAGGGAAUUUAUUGUAUCUAGACAUGUUUAGUUAUUAAAACAUAUAUCAUUUUAAAGUAGCUUUAAUUUUCAUGUAUUUCAUUUUGAUUUUAUGCACUUGCAGAAUAAGUCUGGAAGACUUUCACAAGCCAUAAACUUGUAAAGUUGGACAGAAAUCAAUGCACGCUUUUAUAAUUCUUAAUGUAUGUUUAUUGAUCAUAUCAUAUGAGAGUUAAAUUUCUAGGUGGAGGCUAAGUAAAAAACAAAGUCGCAACUCUCACUCUAAGCGGAAGGUUAGGUUUCAAGGAUGAACUGAACUGAAGGAAUAGACUUUGUGCUGUGAAAUGCCUGUUGUCUCUGUGUUUUGUCAGUUCAUAUAUAAGACUUAAAUGGGCAGUGCAGAUAUUCAGAGACAGCUGCAUGGGCAUCUGACCUGGCUGUUUUCUCUCCAUGCUGCUGCAUGUGAUUAAACCCAGUUCAAAAGAUUCUCAUCAAGUGUAAAACUUCCAUGACAGUAGUGACACAUUGGUCUGCUUCCCACGUGUUUGUGGCGAAUCUACAUUUUACAUCACUUUCCCUUUCCCACAGUGUAAAGCUAUGACUGUGAUUGUGACAUCAGUGGUCUAGUCCAAACAUCUUUCUGCUGGCCUUCACAGGUCACUCAGCCUUCACUUUGCAUACUUUAAAUGUCACUGUGCAUCUAUGAUUCUUCCUUGCAGACAACUUUGUGCAAUCCACCUCCUCCCCACCACCACCUCUCCCUUAUCACUCAGAUUCCAAAGGUUGCUACACACAGAACAUACCUGUAGCAAUCAAGUAUAUGUGAGGCAUCUGGCAAUCAGCUCACAACUAUUUCAGCUGGGGCCUGCCCUUCAGUCUUUGCUAGUGAUUGACAAAGCAGGCUUUAUGAAACACUAAAACAUUUGAAGCAUUUGUGCUGGAAUUAUAUUGAGGCUUCAACACAUUAUAAAAGCCCAUCUCCACAGGGACAUCUGCUGGCAAAUUUGGCUAUUGCCACAUCUUGAAGAUGCUGUUAUGUGAAAUGGUGAUGCAGUUAAGCCCUGCACAAUUCCAAAUACAGCUGCUUGUAAAGCCAGACAGUGAAAAAUUAUGAUCAACUUUUGGAAAAAUUCCAACACAAACAAGGCAAGAGAAAAACUGGGACCAGUUGAUCAGUUUCUGUGUGCAAAAGUAGAAAGUGGUUAAAUGUAGUACACUGGCAAAAUGCCUGGUUCCUGUGAAUAAACAACCAUUUAAGUCAAGUCAAGUCAACUUUAUUUAUAUAGCAUAUUUAAAUGACAUCAAGUGUUGGCCAAAGUGCUGAGUGCAGAGGGAUAAUAUAAUCAAACAAAACAUAAUUAAAAUUGAUAAGAGGAAAAACAUUAAAAACAUUGUAAGACAUCUAUAUAUGUUUGUAAGAAUAUAUAUGUAUAUGCAAAUGUGCGCAUACAUAUGCAAGUAUAUACAUGUAUAUGUAUACACUUGCACACAUCAUCCAAUGAGUGUUACUGUGUGAAAUAGCCUGUUCUCCCCCCGUAUUGUGCACAAUAAUAUACAGGGCCCCAAAAUACAGUAAGGACUUUAUAAAGGAAUUUGCUGCAUUUCUAACUGAAGUCACGAUAAAAUAUGACUGCUUUCUUAUUGUUGGGGAUUUUAAUAUUCAUGUGUGCUGUCCAGAUAAGCCCAUGGUUAAAGACUUUUUGAAUCUUACUGAUUCUUUUAAUUUAGUUCGAUGUGUGUCUGCACCCACGCAACUGUGUGGCCACACUCUAGAUCUGGUUUUAGCGCACUCAUUGCCUGUUUUUAAUCUGAAAGUCUCUGAUCCUGUUUUUUCUGAUCAUAUUUUGGUUCUGUUUGACAUCUCUUUAUCUAGAAAUGAAUUCAGGGGGCAUGUCCCUGCUAAGACAUCUCGUUUGUUAAAUUCUUCCAUGGCAGCACGGUUCUCCACCUACUAUGAUCAGUUCUCCAUUCCUGAGACACUCCAAUACGUAGAGGAACUCAGUUUUUGGUUUCAUACCACUUGUCAGACUGUCUUGGAUAUUGUUGCCCCUCUAAAAAUCAGGCAUCCUAAUACUAAGUUUGA
Long non-coding RNA from Oreochromis niloticus (Nile tilapia), 2855 nucleotides. RefSeq lists it as uncharacterized. NCBI's taxonomy places the organism in Eukaryota, Metazoa, Chordata, Actinopteri, Cichliformes, Cichlidae. The record is from RefSeq and is a predicted model, not a curated record. The transcript is spliced from 3 exons.